UAUCUCUAGACUAUACAUAGAAUAAAUCUCAAUUCUAGAUCUAGAUAAUAAUAUACCUAGAUGAUCAGCUUCAUCAUAGUUAGGCUUUGGCUUUAGCCUAGCCUACUUUAACUUUAGGGCUAGGGGCUUUACUCCUUUAGCGUGAAAGUUUGUUCAUGGCUAAUCUUUAAAAUUAAUCUGACUUCCUGACUUGUUAAAUUCGUCUUAAGUCUUAGCCUUAGCUUCUUCAUUUGUGUAUCACGAAUGGAAGUGCUUGGCUCUAAGAUCAUUUUUUUAAAGAUCUACUUUAUCUUUACUAACUCUACUUUAUAUCUAUAUUUUAUAUAAUAAUAAUAGACCUAGAGUCAAGUCCUAGACUCUUAUAACUUAGACUAAAUUAGACUAUCUAUAUCUAUGAUCUACAUCUAGAAUCUGUAUCUACUAUCUAGGUCUAUUCUUACACUGAUUAUACAUAUACAGAUUUAAUGUUUCUGGUGAGCAAUACUAUUGUACAGCCAUUACCAAUUAGCCUACUCGUACUAGAUCUGGCUCUAUUGAUCACUACUCAUAUCUUGCCUAGAUAUAAAAAACUACUAGUUUGGACUAGACAUUCUAAUUGGUUCUAUUUUCUUUUUUUGAUUGUUCUCACAAUUCCAGUAGGCUGAGUAGGUACCAAAUAGUGCUAUUAUUCACUGUAGAUCUAGAUCUUAACUUUUAAGUACCAAAGAAGUACACUAAGGGUGUUGAAUGGUACUCAAAGUGCUCUAAUUGCUACUGUUCAAUGUGUUCAAUGUGUGGAUUCAAGUAUUUACCCAGAUACUGUCACAAUAUGUUCAUUGUUUUCAAAAGAGUUUGCACCCAGUGCCAGAAGCUGUAUAAAUACAUUUAACAAUGUAUAUUUCAAGAAGAAAUUAAUCUUUCUUAUCCCUAAGAGUUUAUCAAUAGGAUGGAUGCCACAAAACUUACUUGCUUUGUCAGAAACUCUUCCUACGAAACUUCCAACCUAGAGUUUGUCCAAUGCCUGUGAUCCUCUGAGUUGAAGGAGAAUGUGCUCCAUAAUACCUACUAGUACCUUGCUGAUAGCUGGAAGUUCAUGAAUAUUAUGUUGUCCUUGAUUUGAUGAUUUUGAAAACUACCAUUUCUGAUGACUUGAGCAUUAUUUCUAUAAUUCGAAAAAAAAACUCUUCAGAAAAUAUUGUCUUUAUAAUAUUAAGAAAUUGAAGAUAAUAUUGUUCUCUUUAAUAUUAAUAUUUUAGCAAAGUUAUUUGAAAA
This is a long non-coding RNA of Biomphalaria glabrata, 1251 nucleotides long. RefSeq lists it as uncharacterized. The transcript has 3 exons. The record is from RefSeq and is a predicted model, not a curated record. Lineage: Eukaryota; Metazoa; Mollusca; Gastropoda; Planorbidae.